GCACUGCUGAAGAGUCCCAUAAUAGGACGAGGCGGUCUUCCAGUGC
This 46-nucleotide non-coding RNA is filed under the name Schistosoma mattheei. The record is from RNAcentral. Lineage: Eukaryota; Metazoa; Platyhelminthes; Trematoda; Strigeidida; Schistosomatidae.